UACGUAGGGUGCAAGUCGUUGUCCGGAAUUAUUGGGCGUAAAGAGCUUGUAGGCGGUUUGUCGCGUCUGCCGUGAAAAUCCGGGGCUCAACCCCGGACUUGCGGUGGGUACGGGCAGACUAGAGUGUGGUAGGGGAGACUGGAAUUCCUGGUGUAGCGGUGAAAUGCGCAGAUAUCAGGAGGAACACCGAUGGCGAAGGCAGGUCUCUGGGCCACUACUGACGCUGAGAAGCGAAAGCGUGGGGAGCGAACAGG
This 254-nucleotide ribosomal RNA is filed under the name uncultured bacterium. RNAcentral describes it as "partial 16S ribosomal RNA". It matches the Rfam family "Bacterial small subunit ribosomal RNA", at positions 524 to 776 of the family's 1533-position model. The record is from RNAcentral.